This 77-nucleotide transfer RNA is filed under the name Bacteroidota bacterium. RNAcentral describes it as "tRNA-Asn". It matches the Rfam family "tRNA". Rfam says of the family: Transfer RNA (tRNA) molecules are approximately 80 nucleotides in length. Their secondary structure includes four short double-helical elements and three loops (D, anti-codon, and T loops). Lineage: Bacteria; Pseudomonadati; Bacteroidota. The record is from RNAcentral.
UCCUUCUUAGCUCAGCUGGUUAGAGCAUCUGACUGUUAAUCAGAGGGUCGCUGGUUCAAGUCCAGCAGAGGGAGCCA